This 431-nucleotide ribosomal RNA is filed under the name Ptycta sp. n. L ECB-2013. RNAcentral describes it as "SSU rRNA". It matches the Rfam family "Eukaryotic small subunit ribosomal RNA", at positions 106 to 518 of the family's 1831-position model. Lineage: Eukaryota; Metazoa; Arthropoda; Insecta; Psocodea; Psocidae. The record is from RNAcentral.
UCAGUUAUGGUUUUUUUGAUGGUACGCACAGUUACUUGGAUAACUGUGGUAAUUCUAGAGCUAAUACAUGCAAAUAGAGCCCCGACCAUUCGCUGGAAGGGGUGCUUUUAUUAGAUCAAAACCAAUCAGGCUCGAAAGGGCUUGUUUGUCUUGGUGACUCUGAAUAACUUUGGGCUGAUCGCAUGGUCUUGUACCGGCGACGCAUCUUUCAAAUGUCUGACUUAUCACACUUUCGAUGGUAGGCUCUGCGCCUACUAUGGUUGUAACGGGUAACGGGGAAUCAGGGUUCGAUUCCGGAGAGGGAGCCUGAGAAACGGCUACCACAUCCAAGGAAGGCAGCAGGCGCGCAAAUUACCCACUCCCAGCACGGGGAGGUAGUGACGAAAAAUAACGAUGCAGAACUCAAUCCGAGGCUCUGCAAUCGGAAUGAG